GAUGAAGAACGCAGCGAAAUGCGAUAAGUAGUGUGAAUUGCAGAAUUCAGUUAAUCAUCGAAUCUUUGAACGCACAUUGCGCCCUUUGGUAUUCCUUAGGGCAUGCCUGUUCGAGCGUCAUUUAAACCUUCAAGCUAAGCUUGGUGUUGGGUGACUGUCCGCUUCACGGCGGACUCGCCUCAAAAUUAUUGGCGGCCGGUACAUUGGCUUCGAGCGCAGCAGAAACGCGAACUCGGGCCCGUCGUAUUGGCUCCCAGAAGCUAUCUUCACAAUUUUGACCUCGGAUCAGGUAGGGAUACCCGCUGAACUUAAGCAUAUCAAUAAGCGGAGGA
This 332-nucleotide unclassified non-coding RNA is filed under the name soil metagenome. RNAcentral's name for it is "partial contains 5.8S ribosomal RNA, internal transcribed spacer 2, and large subunit ribosomal RNA". The stretch from base 1 to 120 matches the Rfam family "5.8S ribosomal RNA", at positions 35 to 154 of the family's 154-position model. The record is from RNAcentral.